Molecule: non-coding RNA, 31 nt
Filed under: Mus musculus (house mouse)
Lineage: Eukaryota; Metazoa; Chordata; Mammalia; Rodentia; Muridae
Source: RNAcentral
UGAAAUUUUCCACGAGCAUCCAGGCCCUCCA